CUGCAUCUCUCCUCAAGCACGAGCAUCCCUGAGGUUGUAGCAACAAUUUCUAUGUCGUUUUCGUCAAUAACCAGACGCUAUUCCCCUUAUCUACAAGUUUCAGGUGUUUUUGGCAGAUGAGAUUGGCAGCUUUAAGAAGAUGCGUCAUGUAUUUUGAAAUCCAGAGAAAGAUAAUAAGCAAAUCAAUUUUUAAAGAUGAUUUUGUCAACACAUCACGCCAUGAUUCAAAGGAUAAAGCUGCAGCGUGCAAAUGGGUACUCAAA
Panicum virgatum (switchgrass) is the source of this 263-nucleotide long non-coding RNA. RefSeq lists it as uncharacterized. The transcript has 4 exons. The record is from RefSeq and is a predicted model, not a curated record. NCBI's taxonomy places the organism in Eukaryota, Viridiplantae, Streptophyta, Magnoliopsida, Poales, Poaceae.